CCGCACCCAUGUGACUGGCGCAUACGGAUAGAGCACUAUCGGGGAGCAUGGGGUCGCUAGCCGCCGCGCGCCUGGGCAUUACCU
Regulatory RNA element from Burkholderia sp. SRS-W-2-2016, 84 nucleotides. It matches the Rfam family "ZMP/ZTP riboswitch aptamer (pfl RNA motif)". From Rfam's summary of the family: Previously known as pfl RNA. ZMP is also known as AICAR. NCBI's taxonomy places the organism in Bacteria, Pseudomonadati, Pseudomonadota, Betaproteobacteria, Burkholderiales, Burkholderiaceae. The record is from Rfam.